GGCAAACGGGUGAGUAACACGUGGGUGACCUGCCUUCGAGUGGGGGAUAACGUCCCGAAAGGGACGCUAAUACCGCAUGACAUCCUGCCUUUGAACAGGUGGAGAUCAAAGCCGGGGUCGCAAGACCUGGCGCUUGAAGAGGGGCCCGCGUCCGAUUAGCUAGUUGGUGGGGUAAUGGCCUACCAAGGCGACGAUCGGUAGCCGGCCUGAGAGGGCGGACGGCCACACUGGGACUGAGACACGGCCCAGACUCCUACGGGAGGCAGCAGUGGGGAAUUGUUCGCAAUGGGCGCAAGCCUGACGACGCAACGCCGCGUGGAGGAUGAAGAUCUUCGGGUCGUAAACUCCUGUCGACCGGGACGAAUGCCGUGCGGGUGAACAAUCCGCGCGGGUGACGGUACCGGUGGAGGAAGCCCCGGCUAACUCCGUGCCAGCAGCCGCGGUAAUACGGGGGUGGCAAGCGUUGUUCGGAAUUACUGGGCGUAAAGGGCUCGUAGGCGGCCAACUCAGUCGGACGUGAAAUCCCUCGGCUUAACCGGGGAACUGCGUCCGAUACUGGAUGGCUUGAAUCUGAGAGAGGGAUGCGGAAUUCCAGGUGUAGCGGUGAAAUGCGUAGAUAUCUGGAGGAACACCGGUGGCGAAGGCGGCAUCCUGGAUCGGUAUUGACGCUGAGGAGCGAAAGCCAGGGGAGCAAACGGGAUUAGAUACCCCGGUAGUCC
RNAcentral lists this ribosomal RNA (719 nucleotides) under uncultured bacterium. RNAcentral's name for it is "bacterial SSU rRNA". It matches the Rfam family "Bacterial small subunit ribosomal RNA", at positions 97 to 796 of the family's 1533-position model. The record is from RNAcentral.